This is a long non-coding RNA of Acanthopagrus latus (yellowfin seabream), 396 nucleotides long. RefSeq lists it as uncharacterized. The transcript is spliced from 3 exons. NCBI's taxonomy places the organism in Eukaryota, Metazoa, Chordata, Actinopteri, Spariformes, Sparidae. The record is from RefSeq and is a predicted model, not a curated record.
CUUGUUGAUUCCCGAGCGUCCAAUAAACAAAUGGAUGGUAAGAGGACACAGCCAUCAGGUGCCCAGUUCUGGAGAAAGAGAAAAGAAAAUAGAGGAGAAACGAGCAAAAGAUAAAGGGGACUUUUUAAAAUAUUUUGGAGCACCCUCUACCACUAGCCGGGAUGAGGAACCAUCUACCUCUGCAGCCACACACGUCUCCACAAAUGUUGUCUGAUCCUGAGGAUGAAGACCCAUUUACCUCUACUUCUCCCCAGCAAAACUCAGAAAUGCCUGGAGCAGGAUCAUCUACUGAGGAUGAGCCUCUGUGCACUGACCUGCUAACUGGCCUUCAGUUCUGACUGUGAGAAUUCAGACACAACUGGUUUCCAGGGGACCAAGUCACUUUGUAUUCCCUAG